This 201-nucleotide ribosomal RNA is filed under the name uncultured bacterium. Its description in RNAcentral is "partial 16S ribosomal RNA". It matches the Rfam family "Bacterial small subunit ribosomal RNA", at positions 1299 to 1500 of the family's 1533-position model. The record is from RNAcentral.
UGCAGGCUGCAACCCGCCUGCAUGAAGUCGGAAUUGCUAGUAAUCGCGGAUCAGCAUGCCGCGGUGAAUACGUUCCCGGGCCUUGUACACACCGCCCGUCACACCAUGGGAGCCGGUAAUACCCGAAGUCAGUAGUCCAACCUCGUGAGGACGCUGCCGAAGGUAGGAUUGGCGACUGGGGUGAAGUCGUAACAAGGUACC